GACAGAGGGUGCAAGCGUUGUUCGGAAUUACUGGGCGUAAAGCGCGUGUAGGCGGCUGCGCAAGUCGGAUGUGAAAUCCCAUGGCUCAACCAUGGAAGUGCACCCGAAACUGCGUAGCUAGAGUCUCGGAGAGGAAGGCGGAAUGCUUGGUGUAGAGGUGAAAUUCGUAGAUAUCAAGCGGAACACCGGUGGCGAAGGCGGCCUUCUGGACGAUGACUGACGCUCAGGCACGAAAGCGUGGGGAGCAAACAGG
Molecule: ribosomal RNA, 253 nt
Filed under: uncultured bacterium
Lineage: Bacteria
Description: partial 16S ribosomal RNA
Rfam family: Bacterial small subunit ribosomal RNA
Source: RNAcentral